This 87-nucleotide transfer RNA is filed under the name Parcubacteria group bacterium. Its description in RNAcentral is "tRNA-Leu". It matches the Rfam family "tRNA". Rfam says of the family: Transfer RNA (tRNA) molecules are approximately 80 nucleotides in length. Their secondary structure includes four short double-helical elements and three loops (D, anti-codon, and T loops). Further hydrogen bonds mediate the characteristic L-shaped molecular structure. tRNAs have two regions of fundamental functional importance: the anti-codon, which is responsible for specific mRNA codon recognition, and the 3' end, to which the tRNAs corresponding amino acid is attached (by aminoacyl-tRNA synthetases). tRNAs cope with the degeneracy of the genetic code in two manners: having more than one tRNA (with a specific anti-codon) for a particular amino acid; and 'wobble' base-pairing, i.e. permitting non-standard base-pairing at the 3rd anti-codon position. The record is from RNAcentral.
GCCGAAGUGGUGAAAUUGGUAUACACGCACGGUUCAGAGCCGUGUGACCGUGAGGUCAUGGAGGUUCAAAUCCUCUCUUCGGCACCA